AAACGAUAGAAGUUCUGGUGAGCGUUCACACAAAUUAUCUGAUACCUAUCUUAAAAGCAUUAGAACAAAGUUCUAAGCAAGAUACUAAGCAUCAAGCACCUCGGUGAUUGAUGAUUUUUAGUCUCUGACUUAGUGCUUUGCACUAAACUUGCUCUUUAACAAUUCGAAUUUUGAAAUAACGAUAAAUCAAGCGUUAAACCGGUGGAAGUUCACUUUAACCUAGUGACUUCUAUUAUCGUAAAUCCAGAGAGGUACAAAAGCUCUUUGGUAUGUGAUCCGAAACUAUUUUGGGUUA
Molecule: unclassified non-coding RNA, 295 nt
Filed under: uncultured Marinomonas sp.
Lineage: Bacteria; Pseudomonadati; Pseudomonadota; Gammaproteobacteria; Oceanospirillales; Oceanospirillaceae
Description: 16S-23S ribosomal RNA intergenic spacer
Source: RNAcentral